RNAcentral lists this ribosomal RNA (506 nucleotides) under uncultured glomeraceous AM fungus. RNAcentral's name for it is "SSU rRNA". It matches the Rfam family "Eukaryotic small subunit ribosomal RNA", at positions 590 to 1098 of the family's 1831-position model. The record is from RNAcentral. Lineage: Eukaryota; Fungi; Glomeromycota; Glomeromycetes; Glomerales; Glomeraceae.
UCCAAUAGCGUAUAUUAAAGUUGCUGCAGUUAAAAAGCUCGUAAUUGAAUUUCGGGACCAAUAUGUCGGUCGUGCUUCGGUACGUACUGAUAUAAUUGGUUUCUCCCUUCUGAAGAACCUUGAUGUCAUUAAUUUAGUAUCUUGGGGAAUCAGGACUGUUACUUUGAAAAAAUUAGAGUGUUUAAAGCAGGCUCGCGCUUGAAUACAUUAGCAUGGAAUAAUGAAAUAGGACGUUUGAUUCUAUUUUGUUGGUUUCUAGGAUUGACGUAAUGAUUAAUAGGGAUAGUUGGGGGCAUUAGUAUUCAAUUGUCAGAGGUGAAAUUCUUGGAUUUAUUGAAGACUAACUACUGCGAAAGCAUUUGCCAAGGAUGUUUUCAGUAAUCAAGAACGAAAGUUAGGGGAUCGAAGACGAUCAGAUACCGUCGUAGUCUUAACCAUAAACUAUGCCGACUAGGGAUCGGAUGAUGUUAAUUUUUUAAUGACUCAUUCGGCGCCUUACGGGAAAC